GAGUAGGGCUCUGAGUGAAGGGCACGGGGGUGGGGGAGGGCGCUUUGGGGACUCUUAUUUUGUACAGUAAGCCAGAUCCUGGUCCACCACUGUGCUUUCCUACUGGGAUCUGCCAAAGGCCGUCAGUCCCGUAAGGAGAGAUGGUCACAGGGGGAGACAUCCUGCUGACCUGUCAGCCUCAAAGCAGCGGGAAGUAUCCCGAGCUCUUCUUUCGGAGGAAGCCUGACUCCACUCCCAGCUCGCCAGGAAUCAAGUGGCUUCAGCCUCUAGCUCCCAACCCGCCUCACUCUGACCCUGGAGAAGGGAAUGGCUGAGUGUGGGACCAGCAGUUGGACCCUGAGUGACUAUCCGGUUGUUGGGAUAGCAGAAGCCAUGAGCAGGGCUUGCUGUCUAGCCUCACCUUGCUGUCUCCCAAGGGCAGCUAGGACCCUCUGUGUUUGCGUUCCCUUCCUCAUCCAUAUCCGGCUCUUAUUCAGUGGCUAAUACAAAGCAAACACUUAAUAAACGCGUGCUAAGUCAAUGUUGACGGA
Molecule: long non-coding RNA, 530 nt
Organism: Rattus norvegicus (Norway rat)
Lineage: Eukaryota; Metazoa; Chordata; Mammalia; Rodentia; Muridae
Source: RefSeq, a predicted model, not a curated record